AGAUGAAGAUUUUCACAUUGUUUUCACUGCUGGAAUUCAACCAUUACACAUUCAGAAAUACCACUGAGCUAUUAGCUGUGAGACUGGGAUCCCUGAUCUAUGGGCUGCACAGUUGUGGGGAUAAUUUAGCCAGCUGAGGUCUCUGUCUGAGGAAAAAAGGAAAUCAGAGAUUUGGCAGGGGACCUGCGAGAUCCAGAAAAAGUGGGGGUUGGAAAUGCUCAAAGAAAUAAAUAUUCAGAUGUUUCCUAUCUCACUUCUCCCUGACAUAUAUAUUUUGCCGAAGCCUGCGUUGAACUAUGUUGUUUUGAAUAAGACUUUUGAAAUAUUUGAAAAGAAGAAAAUUUCAAGGAUAUUUCCAAAUGGGUACAAAGCCUUCUGGAGGAUUCCUUCGAUUUAAUUUCUCUAGCUUAAAGCCGAAUGGAGAGAACAAAGGCAGAGCUCACAGUCAUUAAUUAAGAGGAUGAAGGAAGGCAGAGGGGAUGCUGACAGGAGGUGACAGGCUCAUUGAAAAGAAAAAGUUACAUCCUGAGAAUGGGGAGAUAUUAUAGACAAUUCUUUGAGGCUUGCUGAAGUGCAAAACUAAUCCACAAGGGAGCAAUUCCCAUCGCGGAGCCUCAUUUCUUCAGGGAAUCACCAGGGACUUUGCAGUCACAGUGAAAAUGCAAAUUCUUCAAUUUCAUUUCUCCCUUGCUGUCUUUGCUGCCUCAUACCUGUGGCUGUGAUGAGUUUGGUGUCAACACCAACAGAAAUUCCUUGAAGGACCCAGUUCCUCCUUGGGAGACUGAAAACACCAGCACCCCAAGCAGGGGUACUGCGUCUCCAGCACUGCCUUGGAUGGGCUGGCAGAGACCCUGUGUGAUGUGGCUGCCCUGCAUCCUGGUGUGGGGGCUCCGUGGUCAGCACCACCAGGCACAGAGGUCCUGGUCCUCAUCACACAGGGGACAGGAGACAGGGCAAAUUUUACAAGCAGCUGAGCAAGGACCUGGAGAGCUCUGUGAAAGACACCUGCUUCUGAGUAUUCCCAGUCUGAGGAGGUAAAUGCAACAGGGAAAAUAGGGAAUGAGGUACUCUGAAAGGUCCUCAUAGAAGAAGUGAAGGCAGAUGGGAAGUGGCCUGGAAGGGGAAGCCAAAUUUGGUCAUCUAGUGCUUGCUAAGGAGCCAGAAUUCAACUUGUAU
RNAcentral lists this long non-coding RNA (1176 nucleotides) under Corvus moneduloides (New Caledonian crow). RNAcentral's name for it is "lncRNA (ENSCMUG00000019667.1)". The record is from RNAcentral. Lineage: Eukaryota; Metazoa; Chordata; Aves; Passeriformes; Corvidae.